Molecule: ribosomal RNA, 406 nt
Filed under: uncultured bacterium
Lineage: Bacteria
Description: partial 16S ribosomal RNA
Rfam family: Bacterial small subunit ribosomal RNA
Source: RNAcentral
AUUGAACGCUGGCGGCAGGCCUAACACAUGCAAGUCGAGCGAGCGGCGGACGGGUGAGUAAUAUCUGGGAAACUGUCUGAUGGAGGGGGAUAACUACUUGAAACGGUAGCUAAUACCGCAUACCAUCAGAUGUGCCCACAUGGGAUUAGCUAGUAGGGGGGGUAACGGCUCACCUCGGCGCCGAUCCCUAGCUGGUCUGAGAGGAUGACCAGCCACACUGGAACUGAGACACGGUCCAGACUCCUACGGUAGGCAGCAUUGGGGAAUAUUGCACAAUGGGCGCAAGCCUGAUGCAGCUAUGCCGCGUGUGUGAAGAAGGCCUUCGGGUUGUAAAGCACUUUCAGCGGGGAGGCGUUACCCGCAGAAGAAGCACCGGCUAACUCCGUGCCAGCAGCCGCGGUAAUAC